Molecule: ribosomal RNA, 738 nt
Filed under: uncultured beta proteobacterium
Lineage: Bacteria; Pseudomonadati; Pseudomonadota; Betaproteobacteria
Description: bacterial SSU rRNA
Rfam family: Bacterial small subunit ribosomal RNA
Source: RNAcentral
AGUCGAACGGCAGCAUAGAGAGCUUGCUCUCUGAUGGCGAGUGGCGAACGGGUGAGUAAUAUAUCGGAACGUGCCCAGUAAUGGGGAAUAACUAACUGAAAGGUUAGCUAAUACCGCAUACGACCUACGGGUGAAAGCAGGGGAUCUUAGGACCUUGCGUUAUUGGAGCGGCCGAUAUCUGAUUAGCUUGUUGGUGGGGUAAAAGCCUACCAAGGCAACGAUCAGUAGCUGGUCUGAGAGGACGAUCAGCCACACUGGAACUGAGACACGGUCCAGACUCCUACGGGAGGCAGCAGUGGGGAAUUUUGGACAAUGGGGGAAACCCUGAUCCAGCCAUCCCGCGUGAGUGAAGAAGGCCUUCGGGUUGUAAAGCUCUUUCGAAAGUGAAGAAAACUUAUUUCGUAAUAUGUUAUAAGUAUGACGGUAACUUUAGAAGAAGCACCGGCUAACUACGUGCCAGCAGCCGCGGUAAUACGUAGGGUGCGAGCGUUAAUCGGAAUUACUGGGCGUAAAGCGUGCGCAGGCGGUUUUGUAAGUCAGAUGUGAAAUCCCCGAGCUUAACUUGGGAACUGCGUUUGAAACUACAAGACUAGAGUGUGUCAGAGGGGGGUAGAAUUCCACGUGUAGCAGUGAAAUGCGUAGAGAUGUGGAGGAAUACCAAUGGCGAAGGCAGCCCCCUGGGAUAACACUGACGCUCAUGCACGAAAGCGUGGGGAGCGAACAGGAUUAGAUACCCUG